GUGGGGAAUAUUCCGCAAUGGACGAAGGUCUGACGGGGCAACGCCGCGUGAGUGAUGAAGGUUUUCGGACUGUAAAGCUCUGUUGUUUAGGACGAAAGUGCCUGUUGCAAAUAGUUACAGGUAUUGACGGUACUGAACGAGGAAGCCACGGCUAACUACGUGCCAGCAGCCGCGGUAAUACGUAGGUGGCAAGCGUUGUCCGGAAUUAUUGGGCGUAAAGAGCAUGUAGGCGGGAAUCUAAGUCUGUUGUGAAAAUGCGGGGCUCAACCCCGUAUUGCGAUGGAAACUGGGUUUCUUGAGUGCAGGAGAGGAAAGGGGAAUUCCCAGUGUAGCGGUGAAAUGCGUAGAUAUUGGGAGGAACACCAGUGGCGAAGGCGGCUUCCUGGCACAAUACUGACGCUCAUGUGCGAAAGCUAGGGCAGCGAACGGGAUUAGAUACCCGAGUAGUCC
RNAcentral lists this ribosomal RNA (450 nucleotides) under uncultured bacterium. RNAcentral's name for it is "partial 16S ribosomal RNA". It matches the Rfam family "Bacterial small subunit ribosomal RNA", at positions 354 to 796 of the family's 1533-position model. The record is from RNAcentral.